This 756-nucleotide ribosomal RNA is filed under the name uncultured bacterium. RNAcentral's name for it is "bacterial SSU rRNA". It matches the Rfam family "Bacterial small subunit ribosomal RNA", at positions 8 to 796 of the family's 1533-position model. The record is from RNAcentral.
AGAGUUUGAUCAUGGCUCAGAAUCAACGCUGGCGGCGCGCUUAACACAUGCAAGUCGAACGAGAAAGGGGAGCAAUCCCUGAGUAAAGUGGCGUACGGGUGAGUAACACGUGGGUAAUCUACCUCUGGGUGGGGAAUAACGCUGGGAAACCGGCGCUAAUACCGCAUAACACUGAAAGGUCAAAGGCGCAAGUCGCCUGGAGAGGAGCCCGCGGCUGAUUAGCUAGUUGGUGGGGUAAAGGCUCACCAAGGCUUUGAUCGGUAGCCGGCCUGAGAGGGCACACGGCCACACUGGCACUGAAACACGGGCCAGACUCCUACGGGAGGCAGCAGUGGGGAAUCUUGCACAAUGGGGGCAACCCUGAUGCAGCGACGCCGCGUGAGCGAUGAAGCCCUUCGGGGUGUAAAGCUCUUUCGGCAGGGACGAUAAUGACGGUACCUGAAGAAGAAGCUGCGGCUAACUACGUGCCAGCAGCCGCGGUAAUACGUAGGCAGCGAGCGUUGUUCGGAGUUACUGGGCGUAAAGAGUGCGUAGGCGGUUUUCUAAGUUUGGUGUGAAAUCUCCCGGCUUAACUGGGAGGGUGCGCCGAAAACUGGAAAGCUGGAGUGUGGGAGAGGUAAGCGGAAUUCCUGGUGUAGCGGUGAAAUGCGUAGAUAUCAGGAGGAACACCUGCGGUGUAGACGGCUUACUGGACCAUAACUGACGCUGAGGCACGAAAGCGUGGGUAGCAAACAGGAUUAGAUACCCUAGUAGUCC